This 302-nucleotide long non-coding RNA is filed under the name Ananas comosus (pineapple). RNAcentral describes it as "long non-coding RNA (ACOM_LNC037774)". Lineage: Eukaryota; Viridiplantae; Streptophyta; Magnoliopsida; Poales; Bromeliaceae. The record is from RNAcentral.
GAACACAAGAUAACAUCACUAUACAAUUAUCGCCGGAUAAUUAUACGAAUACGGGUUCCCGGAAGCGCCUAUUUCGACACCGGAACCCAUCGUUGCUCACCCAUCAUCACCGAACCCACAAAAUGAUGAUGGUGACCAGCCAAUAAGGCUCAGCUACAAUUCACAGGAUAAACAAACCACGUCGGAAGAAAUCCGAACUGAAACCGCGUUCUUUCGACGAAUUUCGCCAAAAAACGCACCGAAAUCGACUUCUCAAUUUCCGCGAAGGCUAUCGGAUCAUGGACAAUCAGUCUGAAGGUCAC